This is a long non-coding RNA of Quercus robur (English oak), 1169 nucleotides long. RefSeq lists it as uncharacterized. The record is from RefSeq and is a predicted model, not a curated record. NCBI's taxonomy places the organism in Eukaryota, Viridiplantae, Streptophyta, Magnoliopsida, Fagales, Fagaceae. The transcript is spliced from 2 exons.
AGUGUGCUUAACUAGCUAGUUGGAGGUUUUGGGUCCACCGAAGUCGACCCAGUCCAAGAGUCUGAUUUUGUGGCAAGAAAUCGUGUUACCUGACGGAUAAGAAUCCUGUUAGAGUUACUAGGAACCACGUACUUUUUCUCUAGUCUUGAAACAUACACAAGGAAAGAUAAUAUUUGGUUUUCCUCUAAGCAUAGGUUUAGGGUAUUACAAACACAGAGUUAGAUUUGGUGAAGAUCUUGUGUGAGUUCAUACUAAUUCUUCUAUAGAGGAUAUUAUUAUAUGUCAAGUUAAACAUAAACUUGAGAAUAUAUGGUAAUUGUAUACAUAAAAGUGAAUUUAUUCAAAGUUUGUUACGUAAUUUUGAGCGGAAAUUUUUCACUCAAAAUUUUGUGCUAUUGUGAGUGAUUUUUAUCUUGGGUUAGAAAUUUUGUUAACAAUAUAUAUUUGUUUUGGAAAUAUUUGUUUUGGAAUUAAUUAAAAUUCUAGUUUUGUUAUUUUUAUUAUUAUUAUUUUUAUAUUUUCUGAUCCAACAUGAGGACGCUGGAGUUAAGUCUAAGUACUGUAAAGGCACCGACAUGAUCUUAAUAUUCAUUUGUAAGAUAUGCAGAGAGUUCAAUGACCAACGAAGAAAUUCAAAAACAAAGAUACUAAUGGUCUGUUUGGAUCACAUGAAUUUGGAUUUGGAUUUGGAUUUGGAUUUGGAUUUGAGGGGGCCAAAUCCAAAUCCUUUGUUUGGGUAAGUUAAAAGAAAUGGAUUUGGAUUUGAUCCCAAAUCCAACCAGAAUUUGAUAAGCCCAAAUCCAUGGAUUUGAAAUACCUUCCUACAUGGUGGAAUUUGGAAAUCUCUCACUCUCACUCUCACUCUCACUCUCACGCACUAUUCUCUCUGGGCUCUCCGUGUCUUUCUUCCUAGCCACAACUCACAAGCGAUUCUUCCCUCUCUCCCUCUCUCUCAGCAACUUCAGAUACAAAAAUGACCAACGAUGGAAGAGAUAUAUCAAUUCAAUGAAAACGUAAAAGAGAGGAGAUGGAAGUAUACGAGGAAGAGGCAAUGAGAUUUGAGACUUUAUGUUUAUAUUUAUGUAUUGUAAUUUUCUUAUUUUGAAUUUUGUAUUAUUUGAAAAACAUAAUAGAAAUGGGAAGAAAAUACACAUAUUUUGGAUAUUUAA